GGGACUCUAGCAUAGCGGUAAUGCACCUGUCUCAUAAACAGUCGAUGCGGAGUUCAAGUCUCCGGGGUCCCACCA
RNAcentral lists this transfer RNA (75 nucleotides) under Candidatus Riesia sp. RNAcentral describes it as "tRNA-Ile". It matches the Rfam family "tRNA". From Rfam's summary of the family: Transfer RNA (tRNA) molecules are approximately 80 nucleotides in length. The record is from RNAcentral. Lineage: Bacteria; Pseudomonadati; Pseudomonadota; Gammaproteobacteria; Enterobacterales; Enterobacteriaceae.